CAUGUGAUCCUGAAUCUUGGGCUGGUGAUGAAAUGAUUUUCAAAUACUGUGAACCACAGAGUCUGUAGUGAAGACUAGCAGGCCUCCACCAUCUCACGGCAUGCAUUCUUCCCUCCACCUGUACACGGAGUCUUUCAUGAAACCCCCAUUGUGGAGACCCCACAGUGUUACUGGAGGAAGCCUUGGCUGUUCAUCAUGGCAAUGCCCAGAAAUGGAAGCAGAUUUAAUAUUGAUCACAAAUAUCUAAAAAUGGGAUCAGAUGUUGAGAGUGACCACUCUUCUGGAAGUCAUCUAAUGAAAUCCAGUCACCGAUAGGUGUUUGUCUCAGAAAUCAUAAACAUAGAUGGAUCUCGAUGGAGGGUACAUAUGCAAUAGUUUAUAAAGGAAAAAGUAAACUGACAGAGAAUUUGGUGGAAAUUCUGUUUGGAACACAAAGAAGGCACACCCAGUACAGCUAAAAGAGAAGAUGUUUCUAUAUGAAAUUCUACAUGGAUUGACUUAUUGCCACAGAAGAAUGGUGUCACAUUGAGACUUGAAACCACAGAACCUUCUUAUUAAUAUAAAAGGGAAGUCUGAUCCUGAGCUGAAAUGUUGAAGAUUUGGA
Sciurus carolinensis (gray squirrel) is the source of this 604-nucleotide long non-coding RNA. RefSeq lists it as uncharacterized. The transcript is spliced from 4 exons. The record is from RefSeq and is a predicted model, not a curated record. NCBI's taxonomy places the organism in Eukaryota, Metazoa, Chordata, Mammalia, Rodentia, Sciuridae.